UACGUAGGGGGCAAGCGUUAUCCGGAUUUACUGGGUGUAAAGGGAGCGUAGACGGCAAAGCAAGUCUGAAGUGAAAGCCCGGGGCUCAACCCCGGGACUGCUUUGGAAACUGUUCUGCUAGAGUGCUGGAGAGGUAAGCGGAAUUCCUAGUGUAGCGGUGAAAUGCGUAGAUAUUAGGAGGAACACCAGUGGCGAAGGCGGCUUACUGGACAGUAACUGACGUUGAGGCUCGAAAGCGUGGGGAGCAAACAGG
RNAcentral lists this ribosomal RNA (253 nucleotides) under uncultured bacterium. RNAcentral's name for it is "partial 16S ribosomal RNA". It matches the Rfam family "Bacterial small subunit ribosomal RNA", at positions 524 to 776 of the family's 1533-position model. The record is from RNAcentral.